Molecule: unclassified non-coding RNA, 347 nt
Filed under: soil metagenome
Description: partial contains 5.8S ribosomal RNA, internal transcribed spacer 2, and large subunit ribosomal RNA
Rfam family: 5.8S ribosomal RNA (bases 1-120)
Source: RNAcentral
GAUGAAGAACGCAGCGAAAUGCGAUAAGUAAUGUGAAUUGCAGAAUUCAGUGAAUCAUCGAGUCUUUGAACGCACAUUGCGCCCCCUGGUAUUCCGGGGGGCAUGCCUGUCCGAGCGUCAUUGCUGCCCUCAAGCACGGCUUGUGUGUUGGGCCCCGCCCCCCGGCUCCCGGGGGGCGGGCCCGAAAGGCAGCGGCGGCACCGCGUCCGGUCCUCGAGCGUAUGGGGCUUCGUCACCCGCUCCGUAGGCCCGGCCGGCGCCCGCCGGCGACCCCCCUCAAUCUUUUCAGGUUGACCUCGGAUCAGGUAGGGAUACCCGCUGAACUUAAGCAUAUCAAAAGCGGAGGA